GUAGUCAUAUGCUUGUCUCAAAGAUUAAGCCAUGCAUGUCUAAGUAUAAGCAACUAUACGGUGAAACUGCGAAUGGCUCAUUAAAUCAGUUAUCGUUUAUUUGAUAGUACCUUACUACAUGGAUAACCGUGGUAAUUCUAGAGCUAAUACAUGCUAAAAACCCCGACUUCGGAAGGGGUGUAUUUAUUAGAUAAAAAACCAAUGCCCUUCGGGGCUCCUUGGUGAAUCAUAAUAACUUAACGAAUCGCAUGGCCUUGCGCCGGCGAUGGUUCAUUCAAAUUUCUGCCCUAUCAACUUUCGAUGGUAGGAUAGUGGCCUACCAUGGUAUCAACGGGUAACGGGGAAUG
Molecule: ribosomal RNA, 347 nt
Filed under: fungal sp. Cr12
Lineage: Eukaryota; Fungi
Also listed under: 1 other name
Description: SSU rRNA
Rfam family: Eukaryotic small subunit ribosomal RNA
Source: RNAcentral